RNAcentral lists this long non-coding RNA (655 nucleotides) under Brassica napus (rape). RNAcentral's name for it is "long non-coding RNA (BNAP_LNC001577)". The record is from RNAcentral. Lineage: Eukaryota; Viridiplantae; Streptophyta; Magnoliopsida; Brassicales; Brassicaceae.
CUUAUCGGCAAAGAACACUGUGAGUUGUGAUCAAUUGAUUGCUGACUUAUUUUCAUGCAGGUUCCCGUUACUUGGAAGUUGGAUCAUGGCAGGAGGCCGGGUCUAACUGAGUAACGGUUUGAUUAGUUAAUAGUUGAGUGUUAGUUGAUUGAGUUGAUAGAAUGUUUAGUUAUUGCUUGGGAAUUAUAGUAGCAUGCUAAUGGUUAGGUUGAUUGGUUAGUUAGCGAAUGCUGUAUGCUUAGAUGAUAUCGCUACGUUGUGGAUAGUUAGGUAUUCUGGAAUUAGUCAUUAUGCUAGAUUCUAGAAUAUGUUUGAUUGUGUUAAUUUGCGAUUAAUACAAGGAACCUUGUGUUAUUUUACCGGGUUUAGUAUUAGUCAUGUAUUGGCCAUAUAGGAUUUGUGUAACCCACAAUACUAGGCAUGUUUGAAGUUGAAUGUGUUGAUUGUGUGGUAAUUAAUACCAGGAACCUUGUGUUAUUUUUACCGGGUUUAGUAUUAAUCGUAUAUUGGCCGAUAGCAUUUGUGUAACCCACAAUGCUAGGGAUAUUGUGGUGAGUUAGUGUUCCUUCAGACCUCAUACCCGGCGGGUUCAAGGAAACCCCCUAUUCGCUGGAUCGGGAAGACUCAGAUAGACGGGUCAUGGCCUAUGGCUGAG